GUCAGAUGAAGGGACAGUUGGAGGCCUCAGGCUAUAAUUAGAGAUUUUCUCCGAUCAUUAUAACUAGUCUCAAGUUGAGUACACUUUUACUCAGCUUCUUCUUUCUCCCUCAUAACUCUUCGCCAAUGCCUUUCUAGCAAACUUCUCUCCCUUUCUUUCCCUAACACUAAGAAUUGGCACGUACAACAAAAUUAUGAGAAUUUUGAGAACUGACAUUGAUAGUCAUAUUGUGGGAAAAGAAUUGACAUGAGUAGCCAUCACAAUAGACAAAUAUAUAUAGCAAAUGGUAAUAAGAUGUACAUAGGUUGACUUAUUGAAAAUCCAAGGUCAUAAAUUCUUAUAAAAACAACGGUAUGAAUUUGAAUGAUAUUAAAUGCUAAAAGAUAAUCAACAUGUCAUAACAUAGCAUUUAAAAGUAGUUAAAACGUAGUUCGUACGUAACAGAGUUUAAAAUAGAAAAUAACAACCAUAAAAAUAUCAUUUUUGAAAUAACAACCACAACGUGAGCAACAAAAUACUUAAGUAAAAUCCUAGACCACUGGACCACUACUCCUAAGAAUCUGGAUCAACCCGCUGAGAAUCCAAGUCCAUGUAAUCCAAUCAGUUUGACAAAUACUGAAGCUCUUCUUGAACUUGAUUGUUUGUCGUGUCAAGAGAAUCCAUCCUAUUUGGGAUGUAGCCUCGAAGCAAAAAUAACUCGUCCAUUAUCAUAUUACUGGAAAGACUGGAGUCAGAAGACGAUGAUUCAACAUGAAAUGAAGGUCGAGUAGGAGGAUAAGCAAAAGGAUUUCUUGGGUUAGCAGUCUGUUGAUCACCAUGUUGCAUAUAGAUCAUAUCGGUGAUAUCUCAAAAGAAUCACAUCUAGUGGAUCACAUUCACGUCGAAUUUAUUAUCUCAAGCAUCGAUUGAGAUCUUAGACUCUUCCGCAAAAGAAACCCCAAAAUACUCAAGUAUAGCAGUUAUGAGAAUAGCAUAAGGCAAUAGUCCAUAAUCCUUUAAAGGUCCACAUUUGUCUCAUUACCAUUAAUGCCCAAUUAAUUAGAACAUUAUGUUUGAUUGCAUACAUCAAUUUUAGUUCCAUAUCAUUUCAUUGCGAAAGAUUUGAAAUCUUUGGAACCACGAUGUAACUGUAAAAGUAAUGAAGCAAAUGACCCUCUAGGUUUAAAUUUCCAACAAGUAAAACAUUUCAGUUUCUCACAGAAGCAUUGAUAGGCCUUUGCUUACGCAUUUCAAUUUCCCUUGUAAAUAUCUACACAUAGAGUAGUAGAAAUCCAUCUUCUUAUAUCCUUCUAAAUUGCAUUAAAUGUCGAACUCUACUCUCGUCCCUAUGCAUGACAUAUUACCACAAAUAGAACUUAGAGUUCUGAAGUUGAUGGCAAUUUCUUUGCCUUUGACAAAAUAGAAGAUUUUAAUCUUCUCGAAAUUUAGAGUGCAUUAAAAUACUCGUACAAGUUCAGGAUAGUAAGAGUAGUGCAUUUCACAAAACUCAGAGUCUUUGUUGCAUAAAUAAGUUAGGGAAAAUGAAAUCAAUUUUCUCAAAAGAACUUAGCAUACCAUACUUUAGAGUAAAAUUGGGUAUUUGCAUGAAGUGCUCCUUCAAGGUUUUGCAUUGAUCCUUGUUAGUGAAACGACACGCCAAAUUUAAUUUCAAGGCUUUUCUAACUUGCGCAAGGACUUCCAUGGGUACUUUUUCCUUUUCUAGUAACUAAUUGGACUUAAACUGUAAAUCUUGUUUUCAGUUUUGAUGGAAAAUCAUUCCACACAAAGCUAAGCCUUAAAAAAUUUGGUCAACCGAUAAUUCUAAUUUGAAGAUUAUUGGUAAUUACCAUCUUUCUUAUAAUUACUUUAUCAAUAACCCCCUUUGAUAUUAAUUGAAGUUAUCUACCACAGACUUAGCAUGCCAAAAUCAUUUUGUGCUUCAAUAUCAACUUAUUUGCAUAUGGCCCAAAUCAUAUUAUUCCUAAUCUAUGGAGGAUCUUAAAGGGAGGCCUAAAACUAAUUGUAGGAAAAAUCAUGAAAUGAGUGCGUCAAGAGGAAAAGUGAGUUGUGGAGUAUGAAAGCAAAUUUGAGAUAUGUUAUAGGGUAUAUUCAUGCAGUUGGGAUUUUGUUUUGGUUGUUUUUGGCUUUGAGCAUGAGGCUUGGAGUUUUUAUCCUUGCUGAGAGCAUUUUGCUCCUACUUUUCCUAUGUUUUCUGUCCACUUUUCUCUAUUAAUAAUAGGAUCUAAAUCCUAUUUAAUUUUCUCAUUAAUAUGUUACUCUUGAUUACAUCUUCAGUCCCACAAUAAAAGUAUAGUGGUAUGGGAAAUGAACAUGUAUCUUCUUUACAAUCUCUAUGUUUAAAAAUUAGCAUUUUUAAAUGAGAUAACAUAGGUUAAAUAUGUUAUUGACAGUUUACAUAGCAAAUUUCCUGUAUUUUAGGCUAAUAGAGGCCUAUAAUAUUGCAAAAUUUCCCUUUAUGCAUCUUAGAAAGAUUCCCCUGAUUCAUGUCUUUCUCCCAUUCUUUUGUACUCCUUUUGUUAAUAAGUUUCUAACAAAUACCAGUAUUAUUCAAGAAACUAGAAAAGAAUCAAAUCCAACAUCAACUAACUUCACAGAAGACAUCCAAAUCAAAGACACAUCAAAUUGAACUAUCUAAAGAAGUUUAUACAAAAAUGAACAAAUCAAAAACUUAAUUGUAAAAAAACUUCAAUUUCAUCAAAUUUGAAAGAGUAAUAACAUCCUACCAACCUAUACAUUAUAGGAGCAAAAUGCAAGACAUACAUAAUGGAAGAGAGUAGAAAUAAAUUCAAUAUUGCAGAUUUUAAAUGCAGAAAACUUCUGAAGUUGAACCACUUCUUCUCUAUGAGCAACAUUACAUGCUUUAGGUUAUUGGUAAAACAUUAGGGUUUAAGAGAAAACCAAUCAAAUUGCAAAAAUUAGAACCAAAUGAUAAAAAUGAAAAGAAACUGUAGAAUGCGGUUUCCAUUUACCUGUAGAGGAGCAAAUGUUGAUGAGGUUGAUGAUCGAAUAAUGCUAGGGAUUUGAAUAGCAAUGUCAAUAACAAAGCUGAAGAAUAUGAUUUGAACAGUGAGUUAGGGGCUUCAAUUUGAACAUCGCCAUUAACGAAGCUUGAGAAUAGGAUUUGAAAGGUUAUUAGGGUCUUCAAUAACAAAGCUGAAGAAAAACAAUGGUGGGAGACAAGAAGUGAGAUAUAAGAAGAUAGGGUUUCACUAGCAUGGUUAAAGGAAAAUGAAAAAAAUGAGAAAUAAUAAAAAGGAUGGAGUGGAAAAGGAAAAUGG
RNAcentral lists this long non-coding RNA (3278 nucleotides) under Lupinus angustifolius (narrow-leaved blue lupine). RNAcentral's name for it is "long non-coding RNA (LANG_LNC003556)". Lineage: Eukaryota; Viridiplantae; Streptophyta; Magnoliopsida; Fabales; Fabaceae. The record is from RNAcentral.